This 253-nucleotide ribosomal RNA is filed under the name uncultured bacterium. RNAcentral's name for it is "partial 16S ribosomal RNA". It matches the Rfam family "Bacterial small subunit ribosomal RNA", at positions 524 to 776 of the family's 1533-position model. The record is from RNAcentral.
UACGUAGGGGGCAAGCGUUAUCCGGAUUUACUGGGUGUAAAGGGAGCGUAGACGGCAUGGCAAGCCAGAUGUGAAAUACCGGGGCUCAACCCCGGGACUGCAUUUGGAACUGUUAAGCUGGAGUGUCGGAGAGGCAGGCGGAAUUCCUAGUGUAGCGGUGAAAUGCGUAGAUAUUAGGAGGAACACCAGUGGCGAAGGCGGCCUGCUGGACGAUAACUGACAUUGAGGCUCGAAAGCGUGGGGAGCAAACAGG